AGUGAAUAGAUACCCUGGUAGUCCACGCCCUAAACGAUGAACACUAGUCGUCGCUCUGCUAGUCAGGGCGGUGAUGCACUUAACAGGUUAAGUGUUCCGCCUGGGGAGUACGGUCGCAAGAUUAAAACUCAAAGGAAUAGACGGGGGACCCGCACAAGUGGUGGAGCAUGUGGUUUAAUUCGAAGAUACGCGAAAAACCUUACCUGGCCUUGACAUUGAUAGAAUCCUGUAGAGAUACGGGAGUGCCCUCGGGUAGCUUGAAAACAAGGUGCUGCACGGCUGUCGUCAGCUCGUGUCGUGAGAUGUUGGGUUAAGUCCCGCAACGAGCGCAACCCUCGUCCUUACGUUGCCAGCAGGUUAAGCUGGGCACUCUAGGGAGACUGCCUUCGCAAGGAGGAGGAAGGUGAGGACGACGUCAAGUCAUCAUGGCCCUUACGGCCAGGGCUACACA
This 451-nucleotide ribosomal RNA is filed under the name uncultured bacterium. RNAcentral's name for it is "bacterial SSU rRNA". It matches the Rfam family "Bacterial small subunit ribosomal RNA", at positions 774 to 1220 of the family's 1533-position model. The record is from RNAcentral.